This 420-nucleotide ribosomal RNA is filed under the name uncultured crenarchaeote. RNAcentral's name for it is "bacterial SSU rRNA". It matches the Rfam family "Archaeal small subunit ribosomal RNA", at positions 459 to 879 of the family's 1478-position model. The record is from RNAcentral. Lineage: Archaea; Thermoproteati; Thermoproteota.
CAGCCGCCGCGGUAAUACCAGCUCUCCGAGUGGUGUGGAUGUUUAUUGGGCCUAAAGCAUCCGUAGCUGGCUGAGUUAGUCCUUUGUUAAAUCCACCGAAUUAAUCGUUGGAUUGCGGGGGAUACUGCUCGGCUAGGGGACGAGAGAGGCAGACGGUAUUUUCGGGGUAGGGGUGAAAUCCUAUAAUCCCGGGAAGACCACCAGUGGCGAAGGCUGUCUGCUAGAACGCGCCCGACGGUGAGGGAUGAAAGCUGGGGGAGCGAACCGGACUAGAUACCCGGGUAGUCCCAGCUGUAAACGAUGCAGACUAGGUGUUGGAACGGCUACGUGCCGCUUCAGUGCCGCAGAGAAGUCAUUAAGUCUGCCGCCUGGGGAGUACGGCCGCAAGGCUGAAACUUAAAGGAAUUGGCGGGGGAGCAC